RNAcentral lists this ribosomal RNA (425 nucleotides) under uncultured bacterium. RNAcentral's name for it is "partial 16S ribosomal RNA". It matches the Rfam family "Bacterial small subunit ribosomal RNA", at positions 354 to 796 of the family's 1533-position model. The record is from RNAcentral.
GUGGGGAAUAUUGGGCAAUGGGCGAAAGCCUGACCCAGCAACGCCGCGUGAAGGAAGAAGGUUUUCGGAUCGUAAACUUCUAUCCUUGGUGAAGAUAAUGACGGUAGCCAAGAAGGAAGCCCCGGCUAACUACGUGCCAGCAGCCGCGGUAAUACGUAGGGGGCAAGCGUUGUCCGGAAUGAUUGGGCGUAAAGGGCGCGUAGGCGGCCCGGUAAGCCUGAAGUGAAAGUCCUGCUUUUAAGGUGGGAAUUGCUUUGGAUACUGUCAGGCUUGAGUGCAGGAGAGGGAAGCGGAAUUCCCGGUGUAGCGGUGAAAUGCGUAGAGAUCGGGAGGAACACCAGUGGCGAAGGCGGCUUACUGGACUGUAACUGACGCUGAGGCGCGAAAGUGUGGGGAGCAAACAGGAUUAGAUACCCCUGUAGUCC